AACGAACGCUGGCGGCGUGCCUCAUACAUGCAAGUCGAACGAGAAAGCCCGGCUUCGGUUGGGUUAGUAAAGUGGCGCACGGGUGCGUAACACGUGAGGAACAUGCCCCUAUAUCGGGGAUAAGCCUGCGAAAGCGGGUCUAAUACCGGAUGUUGUCAUUGGAUCGCAUGGUUCGAUGAUUAAAGGCGGUUGAGUCUAUGCCGUCGUAUAGGGAUUGUCUCGCGGCCCAUUAGCUAGUUGGCGGUGUAAUAGACCACCAAGGCUCCGAUGGGUAGCCGACCUGAGAGGGUGACCGGCCACACUGGGACUGAGAUACGGCCCAGACUCCUACGGGAGGCAGCAGUAGGGAAUAUUGGACAAUGGGGGAAACCCUGAUCCAGCAACGCCGCGUGGAUGAUGAAGCUUUUUGGAGUGUAAAAUCCUGUCAGUGGGGACGAAACGUCCGGGUAGGAAAUGCCCCGGGCCUGACUGUACCCGCAGAGGAAGUUCCGGCCAACUCCGUGCCAGCAGCC
Molecule: ribosomal RNA, 512 nt
Filed under: uncultured bacterium
Lineage: Bacteria
Description: bacterial SSU rRNA
Rfam family: Bacterial small subunit ribosomal RNA
Source: RNAcentral